ACGGAAGGCAGCAGUGGGGGAUAUUGCACAAUGGGGGAAACCCUGAUGCAGCGACGCCGCGUGAGUGAAGAAGUAUUUCGGUAUGUAAAGCUCUAUCAGCAGGGAAGAUAAUGACGGUACCUGACUAAGAAGCACCGGCUAAAUACGUGCCAGCAGCCGCGGUAAUACGUAUGGUGCAAGCGUUAUCCGGAUUUACUGGGUGUAAAGGGAGCGUAGACGGCAUAGCAAGUCUGAUGUGAAAGCUAUGGGCUCAACCCAUAAACUGCAUUGGAAACUGUUAAGCUAGAGUGUCGGAGAGGUAAGUGGAAUUCCUAGUGUAGCGGUGAAACGCGUAGAUAUUAGGAGGAACACCAGUGGCGAAGGCGGCUUACUGGACGAUAACUGACGUUGAGGCUCGAAAGCGUGGGGAGCAAACAGGAUUAGAUACCCUGGUA
Molecule: ribosomal RNA, 434 nt
Filed under: uncultured Lachnospiraceae bacterium
Lineage: Bacteria; Bacillati; Bacillota; Clostridia; Lachnospirales; Lachnospiraceae
Description: partial 16S ribosomal RNA
Rfam family: Bacterial small subunit ribosomal RNA
Source: RNAcentral